This 1287-nucleotide long non-coding RNA is filed under the name Apteryx haastii (Great spotted kiwi). Its description in RNAcentral is "lncRNA (ENSAHAG00000006298.1)". Lineage: Eukaryota; Metazoa; Chordata; Aves; Apterygiformes; Apterygidae. The record is from RNAcentral.
AUGGUGAUGGAUCUUCCCCUGCUCCGUGUUGGCAUCUUCUGCGUGCCCAUGCUGUCUCCAUGCCCAUGCCGUCUCCAUGCCCAUGCCAUGUCCAUGCCCAUGCCCAUGCUGUGCCCACACCAUGUCCAUGCCAUCCCCAUGUCUAUACUAUGCCCACACCAUGACCACAGCAUCCCCAUGACCAUGCUUUGCUCAUGCCAUGCCCAUGCCUUCACCAUGUCCAUGCUGUGCCCCUGCCAUGUCUAUGCCUUCACCAUGUCCACGCUGUGCCCCUGCCAUGUCUAUGCCCAUCCCCAUGCCGUGCCCAUGCCCAUCCCCAUGCUGUGCCCACAUCAUGUCCAUGCCAUCCCCAUGCCCAUGCUUUGCUCACGCCAUCCCCACACCUUCACCAUGUCCAUGUCCACGCUGUGCCCACGCCAUCCCCGUGCCCAUGCUUUGCUCACACCAUCCCCAUGCCUUCACCAUGUCCAUGUCCAUGCCCAUGCUGUCCCCAUGCCCACACCAUGCCCAUGCUUUGCUCACGCCAUCCCCACACCUUCACCAUGUCCAUGUCCACGCUGUGCCCACACCAUCCCCGUGCCCAUGCUUUGCUCACGCCAUCCCCACACCUUCACCAUGUCCACACUGUGCCCAUGCCAUCCCCAUGCCCAUGCUUUGCUCACGCCAUCCCCACGCCUUCUCCAUGUCCAUGUCCAUGCUGUGCCCACGCCAUCCCCGUGCCCAUGCUUUGCUCACACCAUCCCCACACCUUCACCAUGUCCAUGUCCACGCUGUGCCCGCACCAUCCCCAUGCUUUGCUCACGCCAUCUCCACAUCCACACUGUGCCCAUGCCACCCCCAUGCCCACACCAUGCCCGUGCCACCCCCAUACCCACACUAUCCCCUCGCCCAUGCCUGUGCCGUCGCCCUCAUCCUGCGCCCGGGCCCUGCGGAAUAAAGGAGCGAUUCCAAGUCCUGCGUCUUGCUGCUCUGGGCCCAGGGUCAGCCCCGGGGACAGGGGGACACGGGCCGGGCUGGCGACAGGAGGGGACACAGCAGGGCUGGGGCCAAAGGGGUCCCCGGGCCCUGAAGGUGCUCAGGACCUUGGCGGAUCCCGAACGGGGAGCGCGGAUGGAGGCGGAAGGCUCGCACAAAUCCAGGAUGCUUUUUUCCCCCCACUUAAAACCUCGCCCAAAGCAAAUCACGGCUCCCUCCCGAAAGUCCCUUCGCCCCGUGGCGGCAGCGAGGCCACGGACACGGCUUUUUUUGGUAAAACAGGAAGAGAGGAGGAAAAAAAAAUAUAGAUAG